RNAcentral lists this long non-coding RNA (251 nucleotides) under Brassica napus (rape). RNAcentral's name for it is "long non-coding RNA (BNAP_LNC023226)". The record is from RNAcentral. Lineage: Eukaryota; Viridiplantae; Streptophyta; Magnoliopsida; Brassicales; Brassicaceae.
UAUUCCAUAUCACCAAAAUAAUAUUAAACAUUAUUCUCUUCUCAACAUCUAAAUAAUAAACAUUAUCUCAAUCCAUAAAUACUAAGCCCUAAACUUUAAACAUCGCCCUUCCAUCUAAAUAUUAAACCCUAAACUCUAAUUACUAAACCCUAAACCCAAUAUAAAACAUAAACCCAAUUAUCAAAAUCUGAAAAUAAUAUAUAAUAUUAUGUAAUAUUAAACUAAACUCAGACCUAACUUUUGAAUAGUAU